This 506-nucleotide ribosomal RNA is filed under the name uncultured Glomeraceae. Its description in RNAcentral is "SSU rRNA". It matches the Rfam family "Eukaryotic small subunit ribosomal RNA", at positions 569 to 1078 of the family's 1831-position model. Lineage: Eukaryota; Fungi; Glomeromycota; Glomeromycetes; Glomerales; Glomeraceae. The record is from RNAcentral.
AGCAGCCGCGGUAAUUCCAGCUCCAAUAGCGUAUAUUAAAGUUGCUGCAGUUAAAAAGCUCGUAGUUGAAUUUCGGGACCAAUAUUUCGGUCGUGCCUCGGUACGUACUGGCAUCGUUGGUUUCUCCCUUCUGACGAACCAUGAUGUCAUUUAUUUGGUGUCGUGGGGAAUCAGGACUGUUACUUUGAAAAAUUAGAGUGUUUAAAGCAGGCUCACGCUUGAAUACAUUAGCAUGGAAUAAUGAAAUAGGACGUUUGAUUCUAUUUUGUUGGUUUCUAGGAUCGACGUAAUGAUUAAUAGGGAUAGUUGGGGGCAUUAGUAUUCAAUUGUCAGAGGUGAAAUUCUUGGACUUAUUGAAGACUAACUACUGCGAAAGCAUUUGCCAAGGAUGUUUUCACUAAUCAAGAACGAAAGUUAGGGGAUCGAAGACGAUUAGAUACCGUCGUAGUCUUAACCAUAAACUAUGCCGACUAGGGAUCGGAUGAUGUUAAUUUUUUAAUGACUCA